AGUCAACCUAACUCGUGGACGUGGAUAACCUCGGGAAACUGAGAAUAAACCACGAUAGAUCAUAGUGCCUGGAAUGGCUUAUGGUCCAAACAGUUUACUGCCAUGGGAUGGGACUGCGGCCUAUCAGCUUGUUGGUGAGGUAAUGGCCCACCAAGGCGAUUACAGGUACGGGCUCUGAGAGGAGAAGCCCGGAGAUGGGUACUGAGACACGGACCCAGGCCCUAUGGGGCGCAGCAGGCGAGAAACCUUAGCAAUGUGCGAAAGCACGACUGGGUCAGUCCGAGUGAUUCCUGAUAAAGGAGUCUUUUGCUUGUCCUAAAAGCACAGGUGAAUAAGGGGUGGGCAAGUCUGGUGUCAGCCGCCGCGGUAAUACCAGCACCUCGAGUGGUCAGGACGUUUAUUGGGCCUAAAGCAUCCGUAGCCGGCUCUGCAAGUCUUCGGUCAAAUCCACCUGCUCAACAGAUGGGCUGCUGGAGAUACUACAGAGCUAGGGAGUGGGAGAGGCAGACGGUAUUCAGUGGGUAGGGGUAAAAUCCUCUGAUCCAUUGAGGACCACCAGUGGCGAAGGCGGUCUGCCAGAACACGUUCGACGGUGAGGGAUGAAAGCUGGGGGAGCAAACCGGAUUAGAUACCCGGGUAGUCCCAGCUGUAAACGAUGCAAACUCGGUGAUGCAUUGGCUUAUGGCCAAUGCAGUGCCGCAGGGAAGCCGUUAAGUUUGCCGCCUGGGAAGUACGGACGCAAGUCUGAAACUUAA
RNAcentral lists this ribosomal RNA (755 nucleotides) under uncultured crenarchaeote. RNAcentral's name for it is "bacterial SSU rRNA". It matches the Rfam family "Archaeal small subunit ribosomal RNA", at positions 102 to 859 of the family's 1478-position model. The record is from RNAcentral. Lineage: Archaea; Thermoproteati; Thermoproteota. RNAcentral also lists the same sequence under 1 other name.